Molecule: ribosomal RNA, 759 nt
Filed under: uncultured archaeon
Lineage: Archaea
Description: bacterial SSU rRNA
Rfam family: Archaeal small subunit ribosomal RNA
Source: RNAcentral
UCCGGUUGAUCCUGCCGGACCCGACUGCUAUUUGGGUGAGGAUAAGCCAUGCGAGUUGAAUGGGAUACCUAAAGUUCCCAUGGCAAACUGCUCAGUAACACAUGAUCAACUUGCCCUAUAGAGAAAAAUAACCUCGGGAAACUGAGGAUAAUGUUUCAUAACUGAAUUGGCUUGGAAAAGUUUUUCAGUGAAAGGGAUAAAAUAAAUGGUUUUUAUCUGCUAUAGGAUAGGAUCGUGUUCGAUUAUGGUUGUUGGUGAGGUAAUGGCUCACCAAGCCGAUAAUCGAUAGGGGCCGUGAGAGCGGGAGCCCCGAGAUGGGUACUGAGACAACGACCCAGGCCUUACGAGGCGCAGCAGGCGCGAAACCUCCGCAAUACACGAAAGUGUGACGGGGUUACCCAAAGUGUUCAAUUUUGAACUGUGGUAGGUGAGUAAUGUUCCCUACUAGAAAGGAGAGGGCAAGGCUGGUGCCAGCCGCCGCGGUAAAACCAGCUCUUCAAGUGGUCGGGAUAAUUAUUGGGCUUAAAGUGUCCGUAGCCGGUUUAGUAAGUUCCUGGUAAAAUCGGGUAGCUUAACUAUCUAUAUGCUAGGAAUACUACUAUACUAGAGGGCGGGAGAGGUCUGAGGUACUACAGGGGUAGGGGUGAAAUCUUAUAAUCCUUGUAGGACCACCAGUGGCGAAGGCGUCAGACUGGAACGCGCCUGACGGUGAGGGACGAAAGCCAGGGGAGCGAACCGGAUUAGAUACCCGCGUAGUCC